GGGCCGUUAGCUCAGCUGGUUAGAGCAGCGGACUCAUAAUCCGUUGGUCGCUGGUUCAAUCCCAGCACGGCCUACCA
This 77-nucleotide transfer RNA is filed under the name Variovorax sp. WS11. Its description in RNAcentral is "tRNA-Ile". It matches the Rfam family "tRNA". From Rfam's summary of the family: Transfer RNA (tRNA) molecules are approximately 80 nucleotides in length. Lineage: Bacteria; Pseudomonadati; Pseudomonadota; Betaproteobacteria; Burkholderiales; Comamonadaceae. The record is from RNAcentral.